AGUGAACGCUGGCGGCAGGCUUAACACAUGCAAGUCGAACGGCAGCACAGGCUGCGCCCGCGCUUCCGGGGGGCGACUGGCGGGUGAGUGAGCAGUACGUGCCGAUCUACUUUGGCGAGGCGGGCGACAACGGGAUAAAUACGCGAGAACAGCAGAGGAUGUAAGCGGGAGAGCGGGAGCGCUUCCGCUAUUGUAGGGGGCGAUGUCGGAUUGGCGAGUUGGCGGGGUAAAGGGUUACCGAGCCAACGAUCCGUAGCUGGUCUGAGAGGAUGACCAGCCACACUGGGACUGAGACACGGCCCAGACUCCUACGGGAGGCCGCAGUGGGGACUUUUGGACAAUGGGGGCAAGCCUGAUCCAGCAAUACCGCGUGGGUGAAGAAGGCCUUCGGGUUGUAAAGCGCUUUUGUUCGGAAAGAAAUACAGCGGGUUAAUACCCCGCGGGAAUGACGGUACCGGAAGAAUAAGCACCGGCUAACUACGUG
Molecule: ribosomal RNA, 484 nt
Filed under: uncultured bacterium
Lineage: Bacteria
Description: partial 16S ribosomal RNA
Rfam family: Bacterial small subunit ribosomal RNA
Source: RNAcentral